Molecule: small nuclear RNA, 107 nt
Filed under: Fukomys damarensis (Damara mole-rat)
Lineage: Eukaryota; Metazoa; Chordata; Mammalia; Rodentia; Bathyergidae
Source: RNAcentral
AUGCUUGCUUUGGCAGCACAUAUACUAAAAUUGGAACAAUACAGAGAAGAUUAACAUGGCCCCUGCACAAGGAUGACACACAAAUUCGUGAAGCAUUCCAUAUUUAU